Molecule: ribosomal RNA, 737 nt
Filed under: uncultured rumen protozoa
Lineage: Eukaryota
Description: bacterial SSU rRNA
Rfam family: Eukaryotic small subunit ribosomal RNA
Source: RNAcentral
AAGCUGGUUCGAGCUCGGCAAUGGCGGUGCAUCUAGAUUACUGUAUAGUAUAAAUAACUACACAGUAAAACUGCGAAUGGCUCAUUAAAACAGUUAUAGUUUAUUUGAUACAUUAAAUGGAUAACUGUAGAAAAACUAGAGCUAAUACAUGCCAAAGCCUCACGGUUGUAUUUAUUAGAUAUUCCAAUUAGGUGAAUCAUAAUAACUUCGCAAAUCUCGGUUUUUGCCGAGAUAAAUCAUCCAAGUUUCUGCCCUAUCAUGCUUUCGAUGGUAGUGUAUUGGACUACCAUGGCUUUCACGGGAACCAAGAACAUAGGGUUCGAUUCUGGAGUACUGAGCCUGAGAAACGGCUACUACCUCUACCGCAGGCAGCAGGCGCGUAAAUUACCCAAUCCUGACUCAGGGAGGUGGUGACAAGAUAUAACACGCAUUUCAUUGUGAUUGUAGUGAGGGUAUUCCAACCGAACCACUAGUACGAUUAGAGGGCAGUCUGGUGCAGCAGCCGCGGUAUUCAGCUCUAUAGCGUAUAUAAAGUGCUGCAGUAAAGCUCGUAGUGAUUCAGAUGUGACUCCUCGAGUAUGCCCUACUGUUUGACUGUACUGGAAAAUAAGGUAGAGCAUGCAGAACUACUGAACGAUGUGACUGUAUCAUCUAAAACUGGCUAUAUGCAGAUUGUUAACUGGACUGCGGUUCAAGAAAGCUCUACGGGACCAAUGAAAAUAUAUAUAUGUAUUUUA